Long non-coding RNA from Asparagus officinalis (garden asparagus), 1249 nucleotides. RefSeq lists it as uncharacterized. The transcript is spliced from 3 exons. Lineage: Eukaryota; Viridiplantae; Streptophyta; Magnoliopsida; Asparagales; Asparagaceae. The record is from RefSeq and is a predicted model, not a curated record.
UCAGCCUCCUCCAGAUCUGAUCGCCUCCUCUCUCCUCUCUUUCUCUCUCUCCCCUCACCUCCUCCAGAUCUGAUCGGUUCCUCUCUCUUCUCUCUCUCUCCCUCUCUCCCCCCCCCUUUCAGAUCUAACUCCAAGUAGAUGAGCUCCUCUCUCUUCUUUCUCUCUCCUUCAGAUCCAUGACUCCAAGUGGAUUCUAGAGCUUGGGUAUUCAUUGUUCUCCCUCGAAGCUGGUUGCUCACUCCUCCCUCAAAGCUCAUUCUUUGAAUCUUGUUGCGUCGUAGCUCGUCGUCCCUCGAAUUUCGUUGUCGACUUCUCCCUUGAAUUUCAUCGUCGACUUCUCUCGAAUCUCGUCGUCUACUCCUCCCUUGAAUUUUGUCGACUCCUCCCUGGAAUUUUGUCGACUCCUCCCUCGAAUUUCGUUUUAUUUUUUGUCGGCUUUGCGAAAAUCCCUGCCUUUCUUAGUGGAAAUCGUCGGGUUUUUGCUUGAUUUGUUAGAUUUCGGAAAUUACAGGUUGGUCACUUGCAUCUUGUGAAAUCAUAUAUGGUCGUGGUACAGAGCAAUAAUGUAUUUGCUAUGAAUGAAGCUUUGAAUGAAAUCUAUGUUGAAGAAGAAGAUUAUGAAAGGCUAAGGGAAAUCUAUGUUGAAGAAGAAGAUUAUGAAAGGAUAAGGGAAUCCAUUGAGUUGCAUGAUAACUACAGUUUGCUAUUUUUUUAAAAUAGUGAAUCUACAGCUUGCUAAGUACAAACAUGAAAUUUGUAUGGCAAAUUUUUCUUGUGUGCAAGCAGAUUGAAAAGCAUGAGCUUCUUGAAAUGAUACGGGUUGCUGCAUAUAUUUAUAAGAAAGCUGGAAGAUGGACACAGUCUGAGGAAUUGCUUGAUAUUUAUAAAAAAAGACAAAAUGUACAAAGAUGCUAUGGAGACGUGUUCUCAUUCUGGUGAAAGGGAGCACUCUGAGGAAUUACUUGUUUAUUUCAUUGUGCAGGCAGGGGACUGCUUGAGUAAAGUCUAGGCAGUAGAGAUUUUCCUUCUUAACUGCUGCUCAAAUGGCUAUAAGAGUUGUGAAGUUUGCAAGAAAAUUAUCGCAAGGAAAGAAUUGCAUGCAUGAGUUAAAAUGAAAGCUUGAACAGGUUGAAAUUUAUUUUGAGGAAAAAAUUACCCUUAAGUGAUCAACGCAAGUAAGUUUUUAAUUAGUGUAUUUUAAUUUGUGUUGUUUCUGUGUUAUAAUCUUGGGACAUAGUUAAUUUUUGAA